RNAcentral lists this long non-coding RNA (4385 nucleotides) under Gossypium barbadense (sea-island cotton). RNAcentral describes it as "long non-coding RNA (GBAR_LNC003988)". Lineage: Eukaryota; Viridiplantae; Streptophyta; Magnoliopsida; Malvales; Malvaceae. The record is from RNAcentral.
UCUUAUUUAGUGAAAACCUUGUAAUCUAAUAUAAAUAAACCACACCCGUUGUUCCUAAACUUUAUUUUAAAUUACGUUUCGAUCACCCAACUUUUAAAACUUACAUAGAAUUAUUACAUUUUAAUCACUCAUUUGUUAUCUCCCAUUAAAAUGAUUGAUGUGGCACACUAAUUUAAUGGGUUAAUAAUCAAUUAGGUCCCUAAAAUAUAAAUAAAAUACUAUUUUAUUUUUUUUCUUUUAACAAUAAUUCUUGAAAGAAAAAAAUAUUAAAUGGUUGCGCAACUGAAAAGGAGAGUUAAGGAGCGGAAAUGGAGGUAUUGAACUGCCCGGAAACGGCAGACGGGACCAGGCGGCGCGAAAAGAUGAGAUUGAUAAUCGGAUUUUAGCAUUGCAGCAGCUGACCAUUGAACUGCCGACGGCGAAGCUUGCAGUUGGGGAAAAAACGCGAUGGAAUGUGGAUGAAUUGGCCGUUAAAUGUUGUGAAAACCUCCAAUCCCCGUUCACUCAACCGCAACUUCCACCGACGCCGCCACUCCCACUUUCUCUUGGGACGAUUUCGUUCACGUCUCUCAACCCGAGUUCAACCCCCACGAUUCUUCCGAUCUCCGAGGCUUCUUCGAUAAAAUCAAAGCUUGCAACUGUGGCGCUGUGAGCAUCUCUCUUACUCAAUGUAUUAAUCAUGUUUUAUGCAUCUUUAAAUGUGGGCUAAUGUGAAUCAAAAUAAUGUAUUAGCUAAGCUAGUUAUAUAUAUAUAUAUAAUUGAUGUGCAGUUUUGCUGAAAAUUUAAGGAGUUUUCAGGAUUUUCUUAUAUUAUCUAAAGAUAAUUGUGAUGGCGGUAAAGUUAUGUUGCAUCAAUCGUGAAAAUCGGCCGAGGAUCGAACUAGAGCUGUAGGAGAAGCGAUCAAAUGCUUAGCUGAAAAUGAGGUACAGCUUGAAAUUGAAUAUUUCAUUUUUCUAAUUAAAAUAAAAAAAAUAUUGAAUUGAAGGAUUAAAGGAAGGAAAUAAAAAACCUUGUUUAUAAUAAUUAUUUAGAAUUUUUAUAAUAUAUUUUAUAUAUUUUAUGAUUUAUUAAAAAAUUAAAAAUAUCAAAAUAAUGUUUUAUUUAUACUUCAUAGACCAUAUUGAUUAUUAAACCUUUAAAUUAAUAUGUUAAUACGGAUGAGUGUAUAAAAUAUAACGAUUUGAUAAUAUUAAUGGUUGCUAAAUUGUAAGUAACAAAUUGUGUGUUUUAUUCAGUAGUUUUUUAAUUAAUUAUAUGUUGAAAUAAAUUGCAACAUAUAUUAUAAGUAAAUAAAUUCAAAUAGAUAAAUGUUUAUACUUGGAUAUAAAAAUAGUACUUAAAAAUGUUAUAACUACACUUUAUUUGCAAAAUAUUCCUUAUUUAUUUUUUAUAAAGAAAAAAAAAAGCAGAUGACCUCAAUAUAAAUUAUAUGGAUGAAUGUAAAAGAAAAAAGAGGAUGGAUAAUUUCAUUAAAUUGAUUUGGUAAGUGAUAGCCCAAUCUAUAUUGAAGUACAUUAAACUAAUCUAGUAAAAGUAGUGUGUGAGUAAUAGCCCAAACUAUAUUUAAGUAUAAGUUAAUAUAGUAUUAUUAAUUAGGUAUUUUUAGGUAACAAUUUAUUUAAGCAUAUUAAAUUACAGUCCAAAAUAUUGAAUCAUCCUCCGAUGCACAAUGAAUUAGAAAUAUUUGUUAAUAAAAAAACAAAAAAUAUAAUAAUCUUACUUUGGUACUUAAAUGUCUCAAUUUGAUAUUUAAAAUAUUAAUUUUCUCUAUUUUUUAUCCAUUUUGCAAUUGUCCUUGAAAAAAUUACAUUAUGCAACUUUGGCCAAUAUAUUUAAAAUGAAAACAUUAAAUUUAAAUUUAAAAUAAAAAUUAUAAUAUUAAAUAUUUAAAUAUUAAAAAAUACUUCAAAUUUUGAUUGAUUGGUGGCUGGUGUUGACCGGUCAUGUGGCGCUAUUAGAACAUGCCACAUGUCAUUUUAAAAUUUUUUUAAUAUUAUAUAUUAUAUUGAAUUAAAGAUGUAAAAAAAACAUAUAUAAUAUAUAUAAAAAUUUAACAAAAAAUUUUAAAAUAUUUUUUAUAAAAUUAUAAUAUAUAUUUUUUUAAAUUUUAAAAAGUCAAAAUAAUAUAUAAAAAUUAAUAUAUAUUUAAAUUUCAUUUUAUAACUUUUUUAAUAUUUAUAUAUUAUUUUUAUUUUUAUUUUCUAUAUAUAUUUUACAAUUUUAUAAAAAAUUAUUUUUAAACUUUUAAAAAUUUAUAUUAUAUAUAUGAUUUUUUUUACAAUUUUAACCAAUAUAACAUAUAGAAUAUUAAAAAAGGAAACUUGACGUGUUCUAAUAGCACCACAUGGCUGAUCAAAGUUUAGUCAAUGAUGGUCAACAUUGGUCAACAGUUGGUCAAACUCAAAAGUGUUUUUUUUUUUUUUUGUAAUGAUCAAUUUUUUGAUGGUGCUUGAAAAUACAAUUAUGUGAUCUCGUUUUCGUAAAUCGAGUACAUAAAUAUUAAAUAGAGAUAUUUACAGAGUUAGUGUAUAGAUGAAUUGAAAUUCGUUUUAGUAAUUUAGCCGAAAUUGUGGUUCGUUAAGGCCCAGAGACUAAAUUGUAAAAAUCUAAUCGCUAUCAAUUUUUAAUUGAAAAAAAAGCUUGGGGACCUACCUAGAAAUUAUCCAAAUGAUAAAAAAUGGUAAAUAAACCAAAAGUUAAUAUGUAUUAGUGGAUGACAAUGAUGAAUUAAUAGUAAAUUAAUUAAAAUAAAACCUAAUUAAAUUGUUAAUUAAAACUAAUUAAAAGUUAAUCAGUUGUAUAAAUAGCAAAUAAGGUGGGAAGAGAGAUGAAAUGUUGUCAUCUUCGCAAAACUCGUAGCAACCAAAGAAAAGAAAAAAAAGAAGAAAACUCAAGGUUUUCCAAGCAUUUGGCCAUACAAUUAGGUAUGGAAAUUUCUUAUAAUUUUUAUAGAUUUGAGGUCACGGGAACUUGAUUUAGCUAGCUCGUGCACUAAUUUCUGAGACUGUUAAAAAUUUAGAGAGUCAAUGACAAGCGAUGCAAACUUUCGAUUUGUAUUUCUACGAUACAGGAUCAAUUUAAUUGUGGCUUGUUCAUGUUAUUUUGCAUUAUAUGGUAUUCAAGUGAACCGAAAAUGGUCAUUUAAAUUGAAUUGCUAUGAUUGAGAUUGAAUAUCUAUAUAUGGACUAAGUUGAAUAAAAUAUAAAAUAAUAUGUUUUAAUCAGUACAUGAUAAUUGGUAUGAAAUUGUUUUGAAACAUGUUAUAUGAUGAGUUGAAAUGAUGAAUCAUGAAUUGGAAUAUGUAACUAAAUUGCAAAUUGGUUAUCCUAUUAGUUGUUCGGACUACAUUAGAUAUAGUUGGCAUGCCAUUGGAUCGGGAUAUUGAUUGUGAAAACCAUCGUUGUCAAGCAACCCGGGGUGACGAAUCUGUGUAUCAAUUCUAAGUUCGUGUCUGGUUAAUAAAAUUACAAAAACAUGGAUUGACUAAAUGGUAUGUGAAUUGAAAUGUAAUUGAAAAGUGACUUUCGACAAAAUGUCAAAGAUCAUACAAAAUGAGUUGAAAAUGAGUCCUGGGGACUGGUUGAGUAAUAGUGAGCCAAUAGGCUUGAAAAUGGUUGAAAUAUUGACAUGAAAUUUAAUAUAUAUAUAUAUACAUGUUGAUAAUGGUAGAUGAUGGCAUGUACCUUGGAUUUAAGUUAGUUUUGUAUCAUAAAUGGUCAGUUUUGGUAUUUGGUUGAUUAGUGUAAACUUGAAGUACCAUUGUCGCAUAUUUUGGUUUGAUUAUACUUGGUAUGUUGUUGAACUAGUUGUAUUUGAAUGUUUAAAUGUUAUUUCAAGUGAUUCCAACUUAUAUCAAAUUGGACCAUUGGAAAAUAGUCUGUCAUGUCAUGACAAGAUUAAACAGGGAGUUACGUCGUGAUGAUGUACUUUCAAUGUUGCGAUGAGUCAAGCUAGUUUGUUGCGUCGUGUUGAAGAACCCCCGAAGUAGCGACAAGGAACCCCUGAAGUUGAGAUGAUAGCUCGGUACUUUGAAAUCUUUACAACUUGGUCCUAUUCCGAUCUUGGGUUAGCAAAAGAUCUUUUGUAAGCUCAUGGAUGACUCGAAAAUGAUAUAUAUCGUAUUACACACGUGUUGUAUUUAAAUGCCCAAUGGAAUGUAAUUGAAUAUAAAUGAUCACAGUUGCUCCAACAACGAAUGUGACAUCUUGAAGCUUAGACCCGAUGAUCAACUCGGGUAUGGGGUACUACAAUUUUUUAUAUUUAAAUAUUUAAUAUUAUAUUUUUCUAUUUUUAAUUUAAAUUUAAUGUUUUUAAUGUAAAUAAACUUAUUUGUCACGUGAUAUUUUUUUAUUGGGCAAAACAUGCCACGUGGCACUUUUCAUUA